This is an RNA transcript of Helianthus annuus (common sunflower), 2385 nucleotides long. RefSeq lists it as uncharacterized. The transcript has 4 exons. Lineage: Eukaryota; Viridiplantae; Streptophyta; Magnoliopsida; Asterales; Asteraceae. The record is from RefSeq and is a predicted model, not a curated record.
CUUUAAUCCAUUUCUCUCUCAACUCUCUCUCUCUCUAAGACUCACGUUCUCUCUCUCAAAUCCAGUAUUUGGCGAAUGAGAGAGGUGACUACGACGAUUGAUACGAUCGGUUCCAUUUCCAACCUUCUAGCAGAUCUGCAGCGCCAGUGAAGAAAUUUACCGAGAACGAUGAUGAACAGUCUGGCGGUUAGUUGAUUGUGGUUUUUGAUUUAGUUAGAAUUUGUUAACUAGAGAAUUAGAUAGUUUAUGUGAGUUAAUUAGGUCAUGAAAUUAGGUAUUUAGGUACACUUAGAGUUUAGGUCAUGAAAUUAGGUAUUUAGGUAAUUUAAAGAUCCUUUCUAUUUACUCAAACUAAUUUUGUUGUUUUUGUUAGGGUUAGUUGAUUAUGAUAUACAAACUUACGGUUAUAUUUUGUGGAUAAGAACCGGUAAGUUCCUUGAAUCGGCAUACACUAAAGAGAAGAUUGUCCCUUGCGUGUUCUUCAGUGAGUGCUUUCCAUCUCACCUUCUCUUGGUUGCCUGUAUCCACAAUUACAGACAAAGUCCUAACAGGUUCAACCCUUUAUUUAUGCAUAAAAGACAAAGUCAUAACAGGUUUAUUAAUGCGUAUGGAUUAUAAUUGUAGUUUUAAGUUCCUUAUUGGGUUUAACAUUGAGUUUGAUGAGGUUAGAGCCGGUGGUGUUCUCUAAAGUUUAGUAUGGGAAUCAUGUCACUUCGUCAUUCUCGGUUAGAAAGAUCUGUGUAAUACUAUUAAGAAUGUGCACUUAAAGGGUUGUUUUUUUGUGAAGCCUAUCAUAUGAAAAAAAUACUGAAGUAUCAUGGUGUGUGUUCUGAUCAUUGCAUAGAGGAUUGUGCAUGGCUAAAGACCAGAAUAGACCGAACCGAAAACCGUCAACGAGUUUUGAUUGUAACCUCCGAAAGUGAUGCCCGUAUUCCAAUGAUACAAAAGUUGCACAUAUAUCCUGGAAAUGUUACAUGUAUAUUGUUACCAGAUGGUCGGCUUGGCUUAUCACGAGCAAGGUGUUUCAUCUGACAGAGCUCGAUAUACCAUAGUCAUAUCACAUUCUUUCCUUUCAUCACGACUAGCUGGGAUACCUGCGAUUAAGGCUUAAUUGUUAGAAUCGCAGCAAGUACAUCCCCGAUAGAAUCGCAGGUACGUUACCUUUUUUUGUUAUGUUUCAUGUCAGAUGCAUUUUCAUUAGCAGUCUCACAUCUACAUAAACUGAACGAGUUGCAAUUCUAUUGUUAUUACCAGAAGGUGAUUAUGGGAUAGGGGUGUGCACGGUUCCGUUCAGUUUUUGGUUUUUAAAAACUGUUCGGUAUAUUAUUUGCAUGAAGUUUUAUAGGAAAAAGGGUAAAAAAAUUCAAAAGAGACGAUAGAAAUCAAGAAAAGGUUAAUUACUUCUUGAAUAACAGCAUAAGUUACGGUUCAUGACUCAAAAUUGAACUUUUGUCAAAUUGAACGGUGUGUGGCACCCCCAUGGGUUGAGAUGGCAGUGGGGUAACGCACACUACACAUAGUCUAGAAAACAAUAGUAGUAAAACAUAAUAUAAUUCCUUUACCAACUAUUUAAAUAUUUCAUUAAAUUGACUCGUGUAAUACACAUUUGUAGCCUAGUUUAUAUAUAAAUUAAUUAACUAAUAAUAAAAAAUCCGAACUCGAUCUUGCAAGUUAUCUCUCAAGCCGAGCUCGAGCUUUAUAAUUUAAGCUUCAAAUAAGCUAAUUAAGUGCACAGGUAAGUUAAAUGAGUUGAGCCCAAGCUCUCAUACGUUAAACAAGUCAAGCAAGGGUUCACACCCCUAGUAAAAGGUUGUUGACAAAAAAGAGGAAUUUCAUUUACACCAUAAGUCUGUUAGGGAGAAGGGGUGUAAGCGGGUAUCCCUACCUGCAACUCAAACACCGCCGCCGGUGGUGUGGGUUGGGUUGGGGACUACCCGAUUGCUUUUGAAAGUAAGGAAGAAGGUUGGACAGUCUAAGUGGCCCCAAACAGGGCAAUGAUGAUCUAGGUAACCUGAGGCAACAAGAUUGGAGGGAGUUAGAGUAUAAGGUUUAAGCACCCUUCCCCUUACGUACACAAUAACAUAGUUAUAUGUCAUUUUCCUCUUAUAACAUGACUAACAUGAAAUUCAAUGAAACAAUAGAGAUAAACAGAUAUGGGAAAGCCCACCUUUGAGAAACAGCAACGAAAUCCCAUGUAGAUACGAAGACUCAGCUGAUCUGAAUCAUCUGAUAGGGCAAGAGUUGACUCUUGUGACAACUCGAACUUCCAAGAUUUCUAUUUCGCAUUUAUUGCACGUUCUUGAAUUGUUUGGUUGAUUAUUUGCACAAUUAAUUGCUGUGGAAUUAUAUACGUUUUGAUGCAAUGAAGUGUAUUGUGUGAUUGUG